CAGCAGUGAGGAAUAUUGGUCAAUGGACGAGAGUCUGAACCAGCCAAGUAGCGUGAAGGAUGACUGCCCUAUGGGUUGUAAACUUCUUUUAUAUGGGAAUAAAGUUUUCCACGUGUGGAAUUUUGUAUGUACCAUAUGAAUAAGGAUCGGCUAACUCCGUGCCAGCAGCCGCGGUAAUACGGAGGAUCCGAGCGUUAUCCGGAUUUAUUGGGUUUAAAGGGAGCGUAGGUGGAUUGUUAAGUCAGUUGUGAAAGUUUGCGGCUCAACCGUAAAAUUGCAGUUGAAACUGGCAGUCUUGAGUACAGUAGAGGUGGGCGGAAUUCGUGGUGUAGCGGUGAAAUGCUUAGAUAUCACGAAGAACUCCGAUUGCGAAGGCAGCUCACUAGACUGCAACUGACACUGAUGCUCGAAAGUGUGGGUAUCAAACAGGAUUAGA
This 436-nucleotide ribosomal RNA is filed under the name uncultured Bacteroides sp. RNAcentral describes it as "bacterial SSU rRNA". It matches the Rfam family "Bacterial small subunit ribosomal RNA", at positions 349 to 782 of the family's 1533-position model. The record is from RNAcentral. Lineage: Bacteria; Pseudomonadati; Bacteroidota; Bacteroidia; Bacteroidales; Bacteroidaceae.